UACGUAGGGUGCGAGCGUUAAUCGGAAUUACUGGGCGUAAAGCGCGCGUAGGCGGCUUUGCAAGUCGGGUGUGAAAUCCCCAGGCUUAACCUGGGAACUGCAUUCGAGACUGCAUUGCUAGAGUAUGGGAGAGGGAAGUGGAAUUUCCGGUGUAGCGGUGAAAUGCGUAGAUAUUGGGUGGAACACCAGUGGCGAAGGCGACUACCUGGCCUGUUCUUGACGCUGAGGCGCGAAAGCUAGGGGAGCAAACGGG
This 253-nucleotide ribosomal RNA is filed under the name uncultured bacterium. Its description in RNAcentral is "partial 16S ribosomal RNA". It matches the Rfam family "Bacterial small subunit ribosomal RNA", at positions 524 to 776 of the family's 1533-position model. The record is from RNAcentral.